Molecule: long non-coding RNA, 893 nt
Filed under: Salvia miltiorrhiza (redroot sage)
Lineage: Eukaryota; Viridiplantae; Streptophyta; Magnoliopsida; Lamiales; Lamiaceae
Description: long non-coding RNA (SMIL_LNC000852)
Source: RNAcentral
CUUAACAUCUGAUGUAAAUCUACACAUAAUUUUAUUGAAUUAAUUCAAUAAAAUUAUAUGGCUGAAUGAGAAACAAAUCAGAUUACAUCAUCCAUUGAAAACAUCAAUAAGCCAGACUUGAAUAGAAGAUGCCCUAAAAAUGGAAUCUCCAAACAGAAAAUUCCAAAAAAAAAAUCAUGAAUAUAUAAAUCCAACCUUUUUCUUAGUAUUGCAAUCCUCGGAGACGAUCUGCAGCUCUUGAUCCCAUUCUUUGUUGAGUUAUGAGCUGAUUAUUCGAUUCCAAUGAGCAACAAAAUCUGCAAAAUAAAACCCAAACCAAAAAUCAAAACACACGGUAUAAAUUACAGCUAAAUCCCCCAAAGUUUUAAGAGAAAAAUUAAUAAUUCUCGCUACAAACUGAAAAUUAUAGAGAAGGUGAUAAAGGUGAAGUUGCAUAUUAAAUUUACCAUCUAGAGGUGAUCUUCUCGGAGGCCCCACUGACUUCUUCAAUGGAGCUUGGGAAUCCCCAAAACUGAAAAUUCAAAACAAAAAAAAGGCAUAAGAUGAAAUUUAACCAAAUUUUAUUAGAAGAUGCCCUAAAUAAGUUGGUCUGACUGGAAUCUGUCAUUAAAUUUAGGCCUACCAGCCUGCCUCAGAAUACUCCGUACACGUCCUGCAAUGCUCAAAACCAGGUAGACUUACCCAACAAAGACUCAAAAAGAAGUAGCAAGUUCUCGUAACUCAUGAGUCAUGAUCUGCAUUAAUUUAAUCCACCAAAAAACAAAUCAUUAAAUCAUAUUGGUGAUUCUUUUCUGCCAUUUAAAAUAUGAGCACACACGAAUCAGAUUAUAGAUAAAAUAAAAAGGCUUCAUUUUUACUCUAAACCCACAAAUGAAGGUUUUCAGAAAGGAUAA